Molecule: long non-coding RNA, 811 nt
Organism: Homo sapiens (human)
Lineage: Eukaryota; Metazoa; Chordata; Mammalia; Primates; Hominidae
Source: Ensembl
ACUGGCUUUUGAUGGAAACAACGAUAUAUGUGAUGACCCUUUCUGGACAGGAGGGAGUCCAGGUCAAGGCAUAAUACUCACAUACACAGCUGGGCUUGUUGCCAGACCACUGAUUGUUCUGCUGACAGGUGAUAACUCUCUCCCCCACCAGCUCAAAGGCCGCCGGGCAUUCAAAGACAGUGUCUUGCUCUGUUGCCCAGACUGCAGUGCACUGCUGUAAUCUUGGCUCGCUACAACCUCCACCUCCCAGGUUCAAGCAAUUGUCCUGUCUCAGCCUCCAGAGUAGCUGGGACUGCAGGUGCAUGACACCAUGCCCAGUCCCCUUGUGCUGCGAUAACAGAAAAACAUAGACUGGGUAAUGUAUGAAGAGCAGAAAUGUAUUUCUCAUGGUUCAAGAGGCUAGGAAGAUCAAGAUAAAGGCACUGGGAAGGCUGGGAGCCAUCAUGGCUGACUCACUAUGAUCUCAGGCUCCUGGGCUCAAGUGAUCUUUCGACCUCAGCCCCUGGAGUGGCUGGGACAACAGACAGCAAAUUUAACCAAGGUAAAUUUCAGCACCUUGAUUCACGUAUAUUGACAUUGAGGUGAAGAACUAUGACCUGUUAGAAUAAAACUGAUCAAAGAUGACCACAAAAGAUUUUAGUGUCUACCAUCUCUAAAAGGAACAUCACUUUUCAAAUCAAUUAAUGGAAAAGGAAGCUGGAGACUGUCCACCUGCUCUUUCCCUCAAUUGCCUCCUCUCCUCCUUCAAUGUCAUCUUAAGUGACUUCUCCUUAUUAAACACCAGGACAGAUGAAGAUACAAGGCAAUAUAA